AUGCCUGAGGAAGUAAACCAUGGCGAGGAAGAGGUGGAGACCUUUGCCUUUCAGGCAGAAAUUGCCCAGCGCAUGUCCUUAAUCAUCAAUACUUUCUAUCACACAAGGAAAUUUUCAUUCGAGAGUUGAUCUCCAAUGCUUCUGAUGCCUUGAACAAGAUUCGCUAUGAGAGCCUGACAGACACUUCCAAGUUGGACAGUGGCAAAGAGCUGAAAACUGACAUCAUCCCCAAUCCUCAUGAGUGCACGAUGGCUUUGGUGGACACAGGCAUUGGCAUGACAAAAGGGGAUCUCACAAAUAAUUUGGGGGCCAUUGCUAAGUCUGGCACAAAGGCUUUCAUGGAGGCUCUCCAGGCUGGUGCCGACAUCUCUGAGAUUGGGCAGUUUGGUGUUGGAUUCUACUUGGCCUAUCCCAUGGCGGAGAAGGUGGUUGUGAUCACAAAGCACAAGGAUGAUGAGCAGUAUGAGUUCGUGCAGACCACGGUGAGCCUAUUGGCCAGGGUACCAAAGUCGUCAUUCAUCUCCAAGAAGACCAGACAGUGUACUUAGAGGAAAGGAGGGUCAAGGAAGCGGUGAAGAAACACUCACAGUUCAUAGGCUAUCCCAUCACCCUCUAUUUGGAGAAGGAAUGAGAGAAGGAGAUCUGUGAUGAUAAGCAGAGGAAGAGAAGGGUGAGAAAGAGGAAAAGAUAAGGAUGAGGAGGAGAAGCCAAAGACUGAAGAUGCGGGAUCCGAUGAGGAGGAUGACAGUGGCAAAGAUAAGAAAAAGAAAAUUGAGGAGAAAGACUUUGAUCAGGAAGAGGCGAAAAAGACUAAGCCCGUUUGGAACAGAAGCCCUGAUGACAUCACUCAAGAGGAAUAUGACAAAUUCUAUAAGAGCCUCACCAAUGAUUGGGAGGACCACUUGGCAGUCAAGCACUUCUCUGUAGAUCCGUUGGAAUUCAGAGUAUUGUUCUUCAUUCCUCGGCAAGCUCCCUUUGACCUUUUUGAGAAAAAAAAAAAAAGAACAACAACAGCCUCAAACGGUAUGUCUGUUGUGUGUUCAUCAUGGACAGCUGUGAUGAGCUGAUACUUGAGCACCUUAACUUUAUCUGUGGUGUGGUUGACUCUGAGGACCUCCGAAUAUCUCCCGAGAAAUGCUCCAGCAGCUCAAGAUCCUGAAAGUCAUCCACAAAAACAUUGUGAAGAAGUGCCUUUAGCUCUUCUCUGAGCUGGCUAAAGACAAAGAGAACUACAAGAAAUUUUAUGAGGCCUUCUCCAAGAACUUAAAACUUGGAAUCCAUGAAGAUUCCACGAACUUCUUGAGCCUCUCUGAACUGCUGUGCUACCACACCUCUCAGUCUGGAGAUGAGAUGACUUCCCAGUCAGAGUAUGUGUCUCACAUGGAGGAGAUACAGAAGUCCAUCUAUUAUAUCACUGGUGAGAGCAAAGAGCAGGUAGCCAACUCUGCCUUUGUGGAGCGUGUGCGGAAGCGAGGCUUUGAAGCGGUGUACAUGACUGAGCCUAUUGACCAGUACUGAUGCAGCAGCUCAAGGAGUUUGCUGGAAAGAGCCUGGUCUCAGUGACUAAGCAAGGUCUGGAGCUACCAGAAGAUGAGGAAAAGAAGAAGAAAAUGGAGGAGAGCAAGGCAAAAUUUGAGAACCUCUGCAAGCUCAUGAAGGAGAUCUUGGAUAAGAAGGUUGAGAAGGUGACAAUCUCCAAGAGGCGUGUGUCUUCACCCUGCUGCAUUGGGACAAACACCUAUGGCUGUACAGCCAACAUGGAACGGAUCAUGAAGACCCAGGCACUCUAAGACAACUCUACAAUGGGCUACAUGAUGGCCAAAAAGCACCUAGAGAUCAACCCUGACCACCCCAUUAUGGAGACUCUGUGGCAGAAGGCUGGGGGAGAUAAAAAUGACAAAGCUGUCAAGGACCUGGUAGUGCUGCUGUUUGAGACUGCUCUGCUGUCCUCUGGUUUCUCACUUGAGGAUCUCCAAACCCACUCCAGCCACAUCUACUGCAUGAUCAAACUAGGCCCGGGUAUUGAUGAAGAUGAGGUGACAGCAGAGGAGCCCAGUGCUACUGUUCCUGAUGAGAUCUCCCCACUCGAGGGCGAUGAGGAUGCCUCCCGCAUGGAAGAAUUAGAUUAG
Non-coding RNA from Cricetulus griseus (Chinese hamster), 2129 nucleotides. The record is from RefSeq and is a predicted model, not a curated record. NCBI's taxonomy places the organism in Eukaryota, Metazoa, Chordata, Mammalia, Rodentia, Cricetidae.